This is a long non-coding RNA of Fukomys damarensis (Damara mole-rat), 574 nucleotides long. RefSeq lists it as uncharacterized. The transcript is spliced from 4 exons. The record is from RefSeq and is a predicted model, not a curated record. NCBI's taxonomy places the organism in Eukaryota, Metazoa, Chordata, Mammalia, Rodentia, Bathyergidae.
UGUUCCUGUGGAUUGCUGCCUUCCGACGCUCUCAACCCUAGUUCAGUUGUGCCCUCCCCACACCCCCGUUUUGUCUGUAAUGAAUCAAUACCCUGAAAAUGUGGACACUGUUUAUUAAGAUCAGCUCCCCAGCCCCACCCCCACCGCACUCGGCGUGGAAUGCUUUUAUUGGUGAAAUACGCUUAGUGAGCACAGCGGGCUGCACAGCUUUGGUCUCUUUGCAAAGCCGGUGGUAGAAUCAAGGCAGCGCUGUGGAAGGAAGAGUAGGGAUGGGAAAGGAAGAAGGAAGCAAACAGAGGAGAGAGGCUUUCAGUGUCCAGCUGUGUGCGUGCAAAAGCAACCUGAGGCCAGCAGUGAACUGGAUGCCGCUAUGUGUCAGGAUGGCUUCCGGGGAGACUUCAUUUCCUGAAGAAGUGGAGAAUGGAUUUUGUCUGCGGGUCCUCCGGACGAUUCAUAUCAGGGCUACACUUCCUUCUCCUGCCACUGUAAAAACGGACUGAAGGAGCUGUUGCAACAGAGGACUAGGCAGCAGAAAAGUCCUCGUUCCUGAGACCAUAAUAUCUCACCAGACAUU